This 769-nucleotide ribosomal RNA is filed under the name uncultured bacterium. RNAcentral describes it as "bacterial SSU rRNA". It matches the Rfam family "Bacterial small subunit ribosomal RNA", at positions 59 to 795 of the family's 1533-position model. The record is from RNAcentral.
CAGUCGAACGAAAAGAGGGAAAGAGCUUGCCCUUUCCGGAAUUGAGUGGCCCACUUGUGAGUAACACGUAAACAACCUGCCUUCAGGAUGGGGACAACAGACGGAAACGACUGCUAAUACCGAAUAAGUUCCAAGGGCCGCAUGGCCCAUGGAAGAAAAGGUGGCCUCUACCUGUAAGCUAUCGCCUGAAGAGGGGUUUGCGUCUGAUUAGCUGGUUGGAGGGGUAACGGCCCACCAAGGCGACGAUCAGCAGCCGGUCUGAGAGGAUGAACGGCCACACUGGAACUGAGACACGGUCCAGACUCCUACGGGAGGCAGCAGUGGGGAAUCUUCCGCAAUGGGCGAAAGCCUGACGGAGCAACGCCGCGUGAGUGAUGACGGCCUUCGGGUUGUAAAACUCUGUGAUCCGGGACGAAAAGGCAGAGUGCGAAGAACAAACUGCAUUGACGGUACCGGAAAAGCAAGCCACGGCUAACUACGUGCCAGCAGCCGCGGUAAUACGUAGGUGGCAAGCGUUGUCCGGAAUUAUUGGGCGUAAAGCGCGCGCAGGCGGCUUCCCAAAUCCCUCUUAAAAGUGCGGGGCUUAACCCCGUGAUGGGAAGGAAACUGGGAAGCUGGAGUAUCGGAGAGGAAAGUGGAAUUCCUAGUGUAGCGGUGAAAUGCGUAGAGAUUAGGAAGAACACCGGUGGCGAAGGCGACUUUCUGGACGAAAACUGACGCUGAGGCGCGAAAGCGUGGGGAGCAAACAGGAUUAGAUACCCUGGUAGUC